Acanthopagrus latus (yellowfin seabream) is the source of this 610-nucleotide long non-coding RNA. RefSeq lists it as uncharacterized. The record is from RefSeq and is a predicted model, not a curated record. The transcript is spliced from 4 exons. Lineage: Eukaryota; Metazoa; Chordata; Actinopteri; Spariformes; Sparidae.
GUGGUUGUUGAGUCAGUCAUUUAUUCUCAUCUGGUGUGAACAAAACAAAACAAAAACCUGUUGGAAGCUUUUUUCUGUGUGCAAGUAACUUUGGAGCAUUUUUCAGCCUUCAUGCAGCAGUCUCAUCAUUACUUUGAAACAAAGGAGACAUGUUCACACUGCACUUUUCUGCGAAAAAGCGUAGUGACGGUGCUCCAUCCUAUUCCAGAAAGUGUUGAUGAUGAGCGCCCUAUGAUUAAAAACAUUAUACAGAUGGAUACACCACACAAAGACGCUGCACCGGCCUGCCCGAUAUGGGAGACUGAGACAUCCCUGAUUUCCAUGACGACUGAGAAGAUACAGACCAGAUGAGAAGGAUGGAGGACCACAGGAGCAGCUGGUGGUGGGCACCUUUCUGGCAGGACCCCUCUGUGUUUGUGGUGUUCCUGGAGCAGCUGAGAGAGGAAGUCAACCAGCCAAACAUCCCAUGAGGACCCAGCAGACCACUGACCCAGUCUCAGCACCCUACUGUCUGUGCUCCCAGGCACCAACUUUAUUCAGAUUUUUGUGUAUAAUUCAUCAUUGUGAUGGUGUUUGACAUAUUAAGUUAAAUAAAAAAUGUGCAAAUUAU